RNAcentral lists this unclassified non-coding RNA (326 nucleotides) under soil metagenome. Its description in RNAcentral is "partial contains 5.8S ribosomal RNA, internal transcribed spacer 2, and large subunit ribosomal RNA". The stretch from base 1 to 120 matches the Rfam family "5.8S ribosomal RNA", at positions 35 to 154 of the family's 154-position model. The record is from RNAcentral.
GAUGAAGAACGUAGCGAAAUGCGAUAAGUAGUGUGAAUUGCAGACUUUAGUGAAUCAUCGAAUCUUUGAACGCACAUUGCGCCCCUUGGUAUUCCAUUGGGCAUGCCUGUUCGAGCGUCAUUUACACCCUCAAGCCUAGCUUGGUGUUGGGCGUUGUCCGCAAGGACUCGCCUCAAAUUCAUUGGCAGCGGCAUCGUCAGCUUCUCGCGCAGCACAUUGCGCUUCAGAAGGCUUCUGGCGGGCUCGCGUCCACUAAGAUACCACCCAGUUUGACCUCGAAUCAGGUAGGGAUACCCGCUGAACUUAAGCAUAUCAAUAAGCGGAGG